GAUAAACGCUGGCGGCGUGCGUAAUACAUGCAAGUCGGACGGGCCCUUCGGGGCCAGUGGCGGACGGGUGAGUAACACGUAGGGAUCUGCCCCGAGGUGGGGGAUAACGGCGGGAAACCGUCGCUAAUCCCGCGUACGCUCGGCCUUCGGGUCGAGGAAAGCCUUCGGGCGCCUUGGGGGGAACCUGCGGCCCAUUAGCUGGUUGGUGGGGUAACGGCCUACCAAGGCGAUGAUGGGUAGCCGGUCUGAGAGGAUGGCCGGCCACACUGGGACUGAG
RNAcentral lists this ribosomal RNA (277 nucleotides) under uncultured bacterium. Its description in RNAcentral is "partial 16S ribosomal RNA". It matches the Rfam family "Bacterial small subunit ribosomal RNA", at positions 28 to 323 of the family's 1533-position model. The record is from RNAcentral.